This 857-nucleotide unclassified non-coding RNA is filed under the name Leishmania donovani. Its description in RNAcentral is "gene:LdHU3.31.0210(CDS-product:hypothetical_prote in)". The record is from RNAcentral. Lineage: Eukaryota; Euglenozoa; Kinetoplastea; Trypanosomatida; Trypanosomatidae.
GUGGUAUGGACACUGCAGCGUUCACUGCAGAGCGCCGAAGUGGGGGCGCCCCGGCCACUGCGACCUCACCUCAUGCGAAAGCGGCGUCGAGAGACGAUCGCGGCAUCCCAGCUGCUCCAGAAGCCCCACUUGGCACGACAAGCACAUCUUUUCCGAGGCCGUCACCGCAAUGGAUGCGCAUUCAGAACCGCACUCGCGCCCUACACGCGUGGGAGGCAAAGUACGCUGUGGUGGAGGCGGAUGCGCAAGCCGCGAUGGAGGCCGCCGUGGGUGGCAAUGCGGCGCUCACGGAGGACUUGCAGCACCUCUGCCGCGAAGACGCGCUGCUCAGCAAAGACGAAGCCGCUUUGCGGGGCGAAGACGGUGCGCUGCAAGCGGACGGCGCAGCAGUCGAUGGCCAAAGCAGGGCCGCGGCUGCACAAGCGCUCGUGGCUGCCUCGACCAACGCGCGACGGCGACAAGCGUUGCGGGAGGCUCAGCGCGAAUUCGCGCAGACGCAGGCGCGGCACGCCGACUCGCUUCACAGCUUGACGGCGGAGAUGAGACAAGUGGAAGCGAGCACUGCUGGCGCCGAGGCUCAGGCUCAGCUCCUGGUGCAGCUCAUUGCGGACAAGGAACGGAAACUCGCCCUCGACACAGACAGCAUACGCAGCCGUGAGCGUGACCGCCUGGCGCCCGUGGAGCGCUGAAUCGAGCACCUUCACACUCAACUACAGGGCGUCGAGCGGCACUGAAACAGCCAGCAGCACGCGUGAUGUGCGGGUGCCUGCUCGUGUGCACCCCCACGCAUUCGUGUAGAAGAGCUCUGUGCUGCGCUCGGUACGAGGGGCUACUAUGCCAUAGACGGCAUCAAGGCG